RNAcentral lists this ribosomal RNA (252 nucleotides) under uncultured bacterium. RNAcentral's name for it is "partial 16S ribosomal RNA". It matches the Rfam family "Bacterial small subunit ribosomal RNA", at positions 524 to 776 of the family's 1533-position model. The record is from RNAcentral.
UACGGAGGGUGCAAGCGUUAUCCGGAUUCACUGGGUUUAAAGGGUGCGUAGGAGGGCAGGUAAGUCAGUGGUGAAAUCUCCAAGCUUAACUUGGAACUGCCGUUGAUACUAUCUGUCUUGAAUAUCGUGGAGGUGAGCGGAAUAUGUCAUGUAGCGGUGAAAUGCUUAGAUAUGACAUAGAACACCAAUUGCGAAGGCAGCUCACUACUCAAUCAUUGACUCUGAGGCACGAAAGCGUGGGGAUCAAACAGG